GUGAGGAAUAUUGCGCAAUGGAGGCAACUCUGACGCAGCCAUGCCGCGUGCAGGAAGAAGGCGCUACGCGUUGUAAACUGCUUUUAACCGGGAAGAAACCCCAGGACGUGUCCUGGGUUGACGGUACCGGAGGAAUAAGCACCGGCUAACUUCGUGCCAGCAGCCGCGGUAAUACGAAGGGUGCAAGCGUUAUCCGGAUUCAUUGGGUUUAAAGGGUGCGUAGGCGGAGCGUUAAGUCAGUGGUGAAAUCCUGCAGCUUAACUGUAGACUUGCCAUUGAUACUGGCGCUCUUGAGUGCGCUUGAAGUGGGCGGAAUGUGCCGUGUAGCGGUGAAAUGCUUAGAUAUGGCACAGAACACCAAUUGCGAAGGCAGCUCACUAAGGCGAUACUGACGCUGAGACGCGAAAGCGUGGGGAGCAAACAGGAUUAGAAACCCCUGUAGUCC
Molecule: ribosomal RNA, 445 nt
Filed under: uncultured bacterium
Lineage: Bacteria
Description: partial 16S ribosomal RNA
Rfam family: Bacterial small subunit ribosomal RNA
Source: RNAcentral